This 104-nucleotide small nuclear RNA is filed under the name Chinchilla lanigera (long-tailed chinchilla). The record is from RNAcentral. Lineage: Eukaryota; Metazoa; Chordata; Mammalia; Rodentia; Chinchillidae.
GUGCUCGCUUCAGCGGCACACGUGCUAAAAUUGGCAUGAUACAGAGAUUAGUAUGGCUCCUGCGCAAGGAGGACAUGCAAACAACUGGCACAGCCCUGCUGUUG